Molecule: non-coding RNA, 100 nt
Organism: Mycena capillaripes
Lineage: Eukaryota; Fungi; Basidiomycota; Agaricomycetes; Agaricales; Mycenaceae
Source: the annotation of a GenBank genome assembly
GGCGUCAUAGCUCAGUUGGGAGAGCAGCAGACUGAAGCAAUGCGUUAUCCACGGCGUUCAUGUAAUCUGAAGGUCCCGUGUUCAAGCCACGGUGAUGCCA